RNAcentral lists this ribosomal RNA (253 nucleotides) under uncultured bacterium. RNAcentral describes it as "partial 16S ribosomal RNA". It matches the Rfam family "Bacterial small subunit ribosomal RNA", at positions 524 to 776 of the family's 1533-position model. The record is from RNAcentral.
UACAGAGGUCCCGAGCGUUGUUCGGAUUCACUGGGCGUAAAGGGUGCGUAGGUGGCGAGGUAAGUCGGAUGUGAAAGCCCCGGGCUCAACCUGGGAAUGGCAAUGGAAACUGGCGGGCUAGAGUGUGGCAGAGGGGGGUGGAAUUCCGCGUGUAGCAGUGAAAUGCGUAGAGAUGCGGAGGAACACCGAUGGCGAAGGCAGCCCCCUGGGCUAGCACUGACGCUCAGGCACGAAAGCGUGGGGAGCAAACAGG